Molecule: long non-coding RNA, 654 nt
Organism: Papaver somniferum (opium poppy)
Lineage: Eukaryota; Viridiplantae; Streptophyta; Magnoliopsida; Ranunculales; Papaveraceae
Exons: 3
Source: RefSeq, a predicted model, not a curated record
UCUAAAAUCAUCUUUCAAGUUCUGUGUUAAAGAGAGAGUUCAUCACUUUAAGUUUGGUUCGUCGUUUCUCGAAGUUUGGAGUGCUACUACAUCGAGAAGAUAGUCGUUGUAUCCUGGGAGACAGACAUUUAUAAUCCGUAAGCACCGGUGCGGGGUGAAUCUGUCUUAAGGCUAGAGGAUAUAAUCCUUGCCUCGACUUUAAUUUCGUUUAAUUGGGUUUGCGUUUCUCUUCUUCUCUGUUUGUUUAAUUGCAGUUUAUACACAAGAUUGCAAACAAAAAGACCCAAAGCUGCUGGAUGUAAGGUUUCAGAUGAUGAAUUGGUUGUCGUUACUCUUGGUGCUUUAAAUGUUGAAUAUGCUUCAUUUACUACUUCCACUCGUAUUCGUUCUCCUCCUGUCGCAAGUGUUGAACUACAUAAUUUGCUUUCGAGUGAGGAAUUUAUUAUUACUACUAGAUCGAAGGCAUCACAUGAAGCAUCCAAUCGAGCUUUUGCUAAUCAAUAAUCUCAUUUUCGUGGAUCUGGUAGAGGUUUUGGUCGUGGUUACCAUAAUCCUAACACGCGUGGUCGUGGUCGCAAUCAGUCUUUCUCAGGUGUUUUUGGAGAAAUAAACAUGUGUGGAAAAAUUGGCUCGGAAAGUGGUUUUCGUACCCCC